Molecule: ribosomal RNA, 743 nt
Filed under: uncultured bacterium
Lineage: Bacteria
Description: bacterial SSU rRNA
Rfam family: Bacterial small subunit ribosomal RNA
Source: RNAcentral
CAAGUCGAGCGAUUCUCUUCGGAGAAGAGCGGCGGACGGGUGAGUAACGCGUGGGUAACCUGCCUCAUACACAUGGAUAACAUACCGAAAGGUAUGCUAAUACAGGAUGAUAUAAGAGAUUCGCAUGGAUUUCUUAUCAAAGCUCCGGCGGUAUGAGAUGGACCCGCGUCUGAUUAGCUAGUUGGUAAGGUAAUGGCUUACCAAGGCGACGAUCAGUAGCCGACCUGAGAGGGUGAUCGGCCACAUUGGAACUGAGACACGGUCCAAACUCCUACGGGAGGCAGCAGUGGGGAAUAUUGCACAAUGGGCGAAAGCCUGAUGCAGCAACGCCGCGUGAAUGAUGAAGGCCUUCGGGUUGUAAAAUUCUGUUAUAAGGGAAGAACGACUUUAGUAGGAAAUGGCUAGAGUGUGACGGUACCUUAUGAGAAAGCCACGGCUAACUACGUACCAGCAGCCGCGGUAAUACGUAGGUGGCGAGCGUUAUCCGGAAUUAUUGGGCGUAAAGAGCGCGCAGGUGGUUGAUUAAGUCUGAUGUGAAAGCCCACGGCUUAACCGUGGAGGGUCAUUGGAAACUGGUCAACUUGAGUGCAGAAGAGGGAAGUGGAAUUCCAUGUGUAGCGGUGAAAUGCGUAGAGAUAUGGAGGAACACCAGUGGCGAAGGCGGCUUCCUGGUCUGUAACUGACACUGAGGCGCGAAAGCGUGGGGAGCAAACAGGAUUAGAUACCCUGGUAGUCCACGCCGU